GACGAACGCUGGCGGCGUGCUUAACACAUGCAAGUCGAACGAUGAAGCCCAGCUUGCUGGGUGGAUUAGUGGCGAACGGGUGAGUAACACGUGGGUGAUCUGCCCUGCACUCUGGGAUAAGCCUGGGAAACUGGGUCUAAUACCGGAUAUGACCUCUUGCUGCAUGGCGAGGGUGGAAAGUUUUUCGGUGCAGGAUGAGCCCGCGGCCUAUCAGCUUGUUGGUGGGGUAAUGGCCUACCAAGGCGACGACGGGUAGUCGGCCUGAGAGGGCGACCGGCCACACUGGGACUGAGACACGGCCCAGACUCCUACGGGAGGCAGCAGUGGGGAAUAUUGCACAAUGGGCGAAAGCCUGAUGCAGCGACGCCGCGUGAGGGAUGACGGCCUC
Molecule: ribosomal RNA, 388 nt
Filed under: uncultured bacterium
Lineage: Bacteria
Description: bacterial SSU rRNA
Rfam family: Bacterial small subunit ribosomal RNA
Source: RNAcentral